GACGAACGCUGGCGGCGUGCUUAACACAUGCAAGUCGAACGGUGAAGCUCCAGCUUGCUGGAGUGGAUCAGUGGCGAACGGGUGAGUAACACGUGAGCAACCUGCCCCUGACUCUGGAAUAAGCGCUGGAAACGGCGUCUAAUACUGGAUACGAGAAGGGUCCGCAUGGGCACUUUCUGGAAAGUUUUUCGGUUGGGGAUGGGCUCGCGGCCUAUCAGCUUGUUGGUGAGGUAAUGGCUCACCAAGGCGACGACGGGUAGCCGGCCUGAGAGGGCGACCGGCCACACUGGGACUGAGACACGGCCCAGACUCCUACGGGAGGCAGCAGUGGGGAAAAUUGCACAAUGGGCGAAAGCCUGAUGCAGCGACGCCGCGUGAGGGAUGACGGCCUUCGGGUUGUAAACCUCUUUCAGCAGGGAAGAAGCGAAAGUGACGGUACCUGCAGAAGAAGCACCGGCUAACUACGUG
RNAcentral lists this ribosomal RNA (468 nucleotides) under uncultured bacterium. RNAcentral describes it as "partial 16S ribosomal RNA". It matches the Rfam family "Bacterial small subunit ribosomal RNA", at positions 28 to 507 of the family's 1533-position model. The record is from RNAcentral.